AUAUAAACAAAUAUAAGAAAAUAUGCAAUUCGUUUGAAAAAUCUGCAACAACCAAUGAAAAGAAAAUGAAAAAAAUAAAAAUAAUCAUAAAUCUUUGAUUUUAAAGGGAACAACAAUAUUCUCAAUGAUUCAUAUUGAGUCUCAAUGACUCAUAUUCACAAACGAUUUAGAAAAAAAAAAAAGAAAAAGGGAGCUCAUUUCCCGUGUCAAAUAAGCAUCCCUUAAAACAUGAAAUGAAAGUAUGCAUUGAGGAAAUGAAUGUGCACAUUAACGAAGUGGUCUCUCAAAUAGGGGGCCCCCCUUUCCUUUCCGCGCCAACAUGUGGGUGUAUAUCUAGGCCGUACCUAGCUCCACGGAGCAAUCAACCCCCCUUUUUCGAAGCCAACCACCGAGACCAUCCUCUUGCACGAGGAAUGCGCGGUGUAGGUCAGCUGCUCCUCCUGUAAAACUAAACUUCCUGCGUCCACGUGCACAUCUGCUCCCUUUCAGGCACCUGGAGGGGGAAAUCUCGUGGUCCUGGAUGAGUAUACGUAGUCACGUAUCACGUGUAUCCCGAGGGUUCUUCGCGACUCGAUGGUGUACAUGUAUAAUGACGGAGGAACAUAAAUAUUCUCGUCGUUAAUUGCAGGAGGAGAUUUUACAUGAAUGUAUUGAGGAAUAAAUUGUGAUAAUAUUGAUUUUUAUGACAACCAAAUUGAAAAGUUGAUUCUUAGAAAGAUACAUGGAAAUGAAAUAGACAAUAUGUAUAUAUGUGGGAAAGUAUUAUUGAAAUGGUUUAACGAAACAAUUGGCAAAAUUGGUAUAUCGAUUAUUUUUCUUCGUUUGAACUAAGAAAUUAAUAGGCUACUUAAAUACAGAGAGGUUCAUUUUUAUUCAGUUCGAUCGAAUUUUUCUUGUUAAAUGGCUUUAAUUAACUUAAGUACUUUGGAGAAAAGGUUAAACCUGAAAUCGCAUUGGAGAACGAUCAAUAAAAAUGAAUACGAAAUUUAAUACGAUUAUAUCAAGGUUCAUCAAUGAAAAUUUCUUCAGUUCGAGGUAACGUUGCAACGAGCAAAAUCCUUGAAAUGUUAGAUACUAUAUCGGGAAAGUGGCAGGAAUUCCGAGCAAACGGGACACCCUGUAUUCGCUUGGUUGUGUAAUCGGCCUUAAGGAUAAACGGACGCACACACGUUUAAGUACCAUUCGCAAGUAGGGAGGUUCGUAUCACAAAACGGCCAAGUGAAAGGAUAGGCACCAGUUCAUCUUGUGUCUCAACCUCCAACCAACCUUCUCGAAUAUAUCCAUUCGUGCUGCAAGUGCGUCAGCUAUUCGCAUAAAACAACGGUUAAUUCGAAUUCACGUCGUUCACUCGGCGAGCGAAACGAGAAACGCAGUUAUAUUAUUUCUUUGACUAUUUUUUCAUAAGGAAAAUACAUUCUGUUUAUUCGUUGCUUGUUUUACGAGGGCACGCAUAAGUUAUUACAUAAAUUUCUACUAUUCAUGGUGAUAUCACACAGACAUGGAUAGAAGAAUUAAAAAAAGUUACGCAACGGCUAAAAUAUCGUAGAAAUCCACCUUCUAUAAUUCUCAACAGGAAAUUUCAGCAAGUAUUUCCCUCAAUUUACCUAACACCACAAAAGAAUCAACCAACAAUUUAUCAUCACACGACAUCUUUCUCUUAUUUCGAUCUCCAACAGUGUAAUUAAGGAUCAUGAAUAUUCGACCGCCAUUCCGUUUCCUUCUUUCCAUCGAUCUAAACUAUCAGGAUCUCGAUCUAGAUAACUGACUGUAACAUUUCCACGAGCAAUUCAAUCUUACGCAGAGGGAAAAGCGAAAUCUGAGUAUCAACGAUAUAUCUCAGACGUUGAACAUCUUCGAGAGCGUGCACAACAUCUGUCCGCCUCAACUUUGAAAUCACCCCAAAUUUUCAACGUGGAAAGAAACCUUUCGAACUCAACUCGACUGGACAAAAUAACGAUGAAAUCACAGAGGAACGCGCCGCUUGCACGGAUCGAGGAUGCACCUGCAUCUGGUGCAUUUUCGGAUGGAUCACUGGCCAGAUGUCUCUCAUACCCGUGUCGAGCUUUGGUACACGUUUCUGGCUGCUGUUCAAAAUUAUCCAGAAUUCGAUUAUUCUUUUUGAAGUGAAUUUGCGAAUAAUUUAACGUAGAAGAUUUUAAAUACAGUUCACUGCUUUGAUUGAGUGCUGUUACGUGAAAUUAUGUUGUACUCGUUGAAUUGAUAAUAUGAAUAAUAAUGAGAUAAUGUGAAUAAGUUUAAGAACUCUGAUAAGAAGAUUUUUGGAUGAUAUUCAAAUUUGGAAUGAAUUGAUACUCAUCAUAUCUGUUGAAUGAUUAUCUUAUAUAACAAUUAACAAUGCCCAUUGUCUAUUAAAUGAAAUUACCGAAUAAAUUUAUUUUUAUCACAAUCUGAUCACAGGAUUAACGAGACACAUAAUUUCAUAGAAUUAAAAAUUUGAAAAGUUGAACGGAAAAUUGAGAUGAUUACUGGAGAACAUUAUAAUUAUUAAAACAUUCUGUUUAUUACAAGAUUGUGAUAAUAUAAUGACAAUGGAACAUACAAAAAUCUUAAUUUAUAAUCAAAACAAGAAAUCAAUUUUGUUUCAACAGAAUUCUAUUUUAACUAUCUUUCUCAUUAAGAAUUAUUCAAUAUAUUCGUGUCCCACAAUGAAACUUUAUCUUUCAGUUCCAACUAAUUUGCAAUAAACAGGAUAUAGAAUAUCGUGACACGCCGCCCACCACAUGAAAUAUCGAAAUAUUGAAUACCUUUAUCGAAAUACGCGCAUACACUUCAAGGACUACGAGUUCCAAACAACGCGUGGAAUUAAUCACAAUACUCGGGUUAUUAUUCUCUAAAAGAUCCACAAAUAAAACGCAUCAAAUGUGCACGAUGAAACACGUAAACACAAAUUACACGGAAAUUUAUUUGAUCAUUUCCAUACGAGUAACCAAUCCUUAAGAUCAAUCGACAUUGGAUGGAAGAAUGAAAAAGUUGUCUACUGGUAAUUAUAUAUUGUUAUAAUUUAUAUGUGUAAUAGGAUAUCAUAUUGCGUCGUUUCCCUCUCUUUUUCCACGGUCUUUUUAUCGGCCAGUGGCGUGCGACCAGCACGAUCACGAUGCCGUGUCCGACGUCUUCCGCACAUGGAAACCAGAGUAACCAGUGCAGUGAGUAAAAAGCUGCAGCUGUCACACAGAGCGGGCAGCUGCAGCCGCGAUGCAUCGGGGACUAGCGAUGAGAGUAACACGUUUCCAAGCAGUUUUAGUAUUCACGGCGAUUUCCAAUUUUGCAUAAACUCGCCGAACCUCUGUUAAACAGAAUAGUCUCCGAAACAGAAAGACGAAGAAGCACUCGUGAUCGUCAGAAUAUUUUUUUUUUUUCGUAAAAAAUUCCAAAGAAUAUUCGAAAUGAAAAAGAAACAAAAUAUAGGAUACGCGAUGUUGAAUCUACGAUCGGAGCAGGUGGUACUUGGAAUUACAGACCCUUCUCCUAUUCGCAUAUAUGUACAGGUAUGCGCUGGAAUUCGGUGUUCUCCCUUUCAUACUAAUUCAUUCACCUUAAGCAGAAUAUUUUAAAAAGUUCUAUAUAGAUUUUUGGAGGAUCUUGAAUCGGAAUUAACUCUGAAAUUUUUUCAUCCUAAAGAAACUAAAUUCUAGCUGAAAUAUUCAAAGAAGAAUUCAAAGAAAGGAGGACAAAAUAGAGUGAUUGAUACGAUUUAUUAUGCAUUCACGCGAUAAAGAAAGGAUGAAAAAUUCAAGCAUUCCUGAAAUUUCAGAAGCAAUUUGAAUCGAAUCGAAUACCAUUCGUAGAAAAAAUUCGUAGAAGGCGCCAUGAAAAGGUAAUUGAUCAGCCUUUGAUCGCUUUGAUCGUCACGGGUGUUUAUCGGUCAGCAGCAGCAUUCCGUGCAUAUGCAACCGCACACCUAAGAUGGAUGCACGGAGAUGAGAGAAAGUCGGAGAUCCUGGCCUCGAGGUUGUCUUCGAGAAUGUAACGAAGCGUUCGUAUGCACGCGCGCGAUUCUUGCCAGCAGAUAGGCGUGAACGUGCCGCGAGGAAAAUGUCAUUGGAUGCACUCUUGCCAUCCCACGCUUUUAAUAUUAUUAUUCUCAUUAAUUUUCCUUCUCUCUUUCUCCAUCCAAGAGAAUCAUACCGAUUGUAUUCGUAGAAAUAACAAAAUUUUACUUUAGAGAAAAACAAUGUUGUGAAGAAAAUAUAAUUUAAUUAAAA
RNAcentral lists this long non-coding RNA (4223 nucleotides) under Apis mellifera (honey bee). RNAcentral describes it as "uncharacterized LOC100576853". The record is from RNAcentral. Lineage: Eukaryota; Metazoa; Arthropoda; Insecta; Hymenoptera; Apidae.